Molecule: ribosomal RNA, 652 nt
Filed under: Escherichia coli
Lineage: Bacteria; Pseudomonadati; Pseudomonadota; Gammaproteobacteria; Enterobacterales; Enterobacteriaceae
Description: partial 23S ribosomal RNA
Rfam family: Bacterial large subunit ribosomal RNA
Source: RNAcentral
GGGUUGUGAGGUUAAGCGACUAAGCGUACACGGUGGAUGCCCUGGCAGUCAGAGGCGAUGAAGGACGUGCUAAUCUGCGAUAAGCGUCGGUAAGGUGAUAUGAACCGUUAUAACCGGCGAUUUCCGAAUGGGGAAACCCAGUGUGAUUCGUCACACUAUCAUUAACUGAAUCCAUAGGUUAAUGAGGCGAACCGGGGGAACUGAAACAUCUAAGUACCCCGAGGAAAAGAAAUCAACCGAGAUUCCCCCAGUAGCGGCGAGCGAACGGGGAGGAGCCCAGAGCCUGAAUCAGUGUGUGUGUUAGUGGAAGCGUCUGGAAAGGCGCGCGAUACAGGGUGACAGCCCCGUACACAAAAAUGCACAUGCUGUGAGCUCGAUGAGUAGGGCGGGACACGUGGUAUCCUGUCUGAAUAUGGGGGGACCAUCCUCCAAGGCUAAAUACUCCUGACUGACCGAUAGUGAACCAGUACCGUGAGGGAAAGGCGAAAAGAACCCCGGCGAGGGGAGUGAAAAAGAACCUGAAACCGUGUACGUACAAGCAGUGGGAGCACAGAGCAAUCUGUGUGACUGCGUACCUUUUGUAUAAUGGGUCAGCGACUUAUAUUCUGUAGCAAGGUUAACCGAAUAGGGGAGCCGAAGGGAAACCGAGUCU